AACGAACGCUGGCGGCAUGCCUAACACAUGCAAGUCGAACGAUACCUUCGGGUCUAGUGUCGAACGGGUGCGUAACGCGUGGGAACCUGCGCUUAGGUUCGGAAUAACUCCCCGAAAGGGGUGCUAAUACCGGAUAAUGUCUUCGGACCAAAGAUUUAUCGCCUUUGGAUGGGCCCGCGUUGGGUUAGCUGGUUGGUAGGGUAAAAGCCUACCAAGGCGACGAUCCAUAGCUGGUCUGAGAGGAUGAUCAGCCACACUGGGACUGAGACACGGCCCAGACUCCUACGGGAGGCAGCAGUGGGUACUAUAGGAGCAUGGGCGAAAGCCUGAUACAGCAAGGCCGCGUGAGUGAUGAAGGCGUUAGGGUUGUAAAGCUCCUUUACCCGGGAUGAUAAUGACAGUACCGGGAGAAUAAGCACCGGCUAACUCCGUG
This 433-nucleotide ribosomal RNA is filed under the name uncultured bacterium. Its description in RNAcentral is "partial 16S ribosomal RNA". It matches the Rfam family "Bacterial small subunit ribosomal RNA", at positions 29 to 507 of the family's 1533-position model. The record is from RNAcentral.